RNAcentral lists this ribosomal RNA (468 nucleotides) under uncultured bacterium. RNAcentral's name for it is "partial 16S ribosomal RNA". It matches the Rfam family "Bacterial small subunit ribosomal RNA", at positions 28 to 507 of the family's 1533-position model. The record is from RNAcentral.
GACGAACGCUGGCGGCGUGCUUAACACAUGCAAGUCGAACGGAAAGGCCCUGCUUUUGUGGGGUGCUCGAGUGGCGAACGGGUGAGUAACACGUGAGUAACCUGCCCUUGACUUUGGGAUAACUUCAGGAAACUGGGGCUAAUACCGGAUAGGAGCUCCUGCUGCAUGGUGGGGGUUGGAAAGUUUCGGCGGUUGGGGAUGGACUCGCGGCUUAUCAGCUUGUUGGUGGGGUAGGGGCUUACCAAGGCUUUGACGGGUAGCCGGCCUGAGAGGGGGACCGGCCACAUUGGGACUGCGAGACGGCCCAGACGGCUACGUGAGGCAGCAGUGGGGAAUAUGGCACAAUGGGCGGAAGCCUGAUGCAGCAACGCCGCGUGCGGGAUGACGGCCUUCGGGUUGUAAACCGCUUUCGCCUGUGACGAAGCGUGAGUGACGGUAAUGGGUAAAGAAGCACCGGCUAACUACGUG